AAACAGCCUCCGAUGUAUUGGAUCUUUGGCAGUUUUGACCCCAAGGCCACUUUUGACUUAGUCUUCGCUGACGUGGCACCCACAAUGGUCAACACGUGGGUGCCACGUCAGCGAAGACUAAGUCAAAAGUGGCUUUGGGGGCCAAAACUGCCAAAGAUCCAAUACAUAGAGGGCUGUUU
This is a microRNA precursor of Medicago truncatula (barrel medic), 179 nucleotides long. It matches the Rfam family "MIR2619 microRNA precursor family". Lineage: Eukaryota; Viridiplantae; Streptophyta; Magnoliopsida; Fabales; Fabaceae. The record is from Rfam.